This 729-nucleotide small RNA is filed under the name Pan troglodytes (chimpanzee). Its description in RNAcentral is "processed transcript". The record is from RNAcentral. Lineage: Eukaryota; Metazoa; Chordata; Mammalia; Primates; Hominidae.
GCGCGGACCUGUGGGUGCCUGAGAAGGGGUCUGCGGUGUCUGGAUUCAGUUGCCGUCCUCACGGACUGUUGAGUCUGGCUGUGGGGCGUUUUUCUCCAGCCCGUGUUAGGAGAAUCUUUGUCCGAAGGACCUCAGAAUUUGCAGCCCACCCAUUUCGAACUGUAAAAAUAAGGAAACCGCUCCCUAGAGGGGCAAUGAAUUGCCUGAGUAAUGCGGCAGGGCAGUUAAAGAAGUCCUCGGGCUCCCGAGUCAGUGCUCUUCUUUACCCCUGGCUGACUUCCCAGUUAGAUUUAGUAUCUGGUUUUCACCACAUGUGAUGGUUGUUGCAAUUUGCAAAGGUUAAACUUGUCAAACAAGAAGCUUGCUGCAGCGCGAAUACUUGCACCUUAGAAGAGGGAAAAAAUGGAGCAGUUGCCAAGAGCAAGUCAAAUGAAACAAAGAGUCCUCUUCGUGGAAAAGAAAAAAAUACGCUCCCUUUAAAUGGUGGAUUGAAAAUGACUUUGAUUUAUAAAGAGAAGACUGAGGGCGGGGAUACUGAUUCAGAAAUCCUGUAGCGUGUAAUAAAAGAAGAGGAAAUGGCAUGGAAUCACUGCCUCCUGUGAUUUGAAGGCCAUUGUGAAGGAAAACAAUGCAGUGAAAGAAAGUUCUUCAUAUUAGGACAGAUAUCAUUGCAUCACAUUUAUUUAUCUUUCUGGGUAUUUUUAUAGCCCUUAAUAAAAAAUAUUAAAA